AGCCUUUAGGAUCUGGCCUGUCUGCCCAGAUGAGCUGGGGGCUGAGUUUGCUGGAGUAUGGUAGAGAGGAAAAAACAUCAGGAAGAACUGAAUGGUACAUUUGUUUGAGAUUGACUGAAGACCUCAGCUGUAACAAAAAACAAACUCAGAGAGGGCAGAGAAAGACAACUGAGACCUCGCCAUACAAUGCCUUGGUUAGAGGCAGAGCAAAAGCCAGAAGAGGAGAGAAUCUCUGUCCUGAUAUUUUCCAGCCACUUGCUCCAGCUUCCUCACAUUAGGGUGUGACUCCAAGGUCAUUUCACCAGGCUGACUCUUGAUCACUGGGUUGCCAAUGGAUGGGGAAUCCAGCCCAGAGUGCCAGAACAGAAGCAAGACAAGCCUCCACAACAAAAACAAAAUAUACAAAUGGGACUUCAUUAAACUAAGAAGUUUCUGCACAGCAAAAUAAAUAGUUCACAGAGUAAACAGAAAAUCUACAGCAUAGAAGAAAAUACUUGCAAAUUAUACCUUCAACAAAUGACUCAUCCAGAAUUUACAAGGAACUCAAUGAGAAACAAACGAAUCCCAUUAAAACCUGGGCAAAGAACAUGAACAGACACUUCUCAAAAGAAAAAAUACAAGCAACCAACUAACAUAUGAAAAAAUAGAAUUUAUUUACGUUUACAGGUCUCUCCCUCUUCCCCAUGUCUCCUCCACUAAUCCCAUCUCCUGCCUGUGCCAUUUUACAGACACUGAACAUCCAAAUAUUUACACAAUAGGAAGAAACAGGAGACAUUUUUAUACUUGCUGUGUUUUUGCCACCCUAGCAAUGAUUCUCCCCAUGACCCACACUCAUGACAUUAGCACAGGAACUCCCUCAGUAAUAAGUGCCUGAGGGUUUGAUUAGCUCAAAGAAUGUUUGAAACUUACGUGUACUUCAGUAAACACAACUUCAUUGAAGGCUUCCUUUUACUUGGUAAGACCAGGCAUAGGUAAGAAUAAG
This 982-nucleotide long non-coding RNA is filed under the name Rhinopithecus roxellana (golden snub-nosed monkey). RNAcentral's name for it is "lncRNA (ENSRROG00000045956.1)". The record is from RNAcentral. Lineage: Eukaryota; Metazoa; Chordata; Mammalia; Primates; Cercopithecidae.